UUCCGAUUAUGGCGAGUAAUUAACUUAUCCGCUUUCUCCUUGCUUAAUGGUUUUUCAUGCUGAAGACGCGCUAUUGUGGCAUGAGGGAUGCGUUUAAAAGGAACGUCGGCGCCUUUAAACAUGUUUUCAUGAACCUGGUCUUCAGGAAUAACCUUACAUUGUAAAAGCUUUCCAUAUAAAAGAUAAUUAUGCAUUGUCUCAGCAACGACAUUGGCAACGUCUAACGAUUCAAACUCGAUGAAAGCAUAAUGCUUACUACUUCCUGUCUAAUGCAAAAAGUUAGCAGUCGAAAAUAAAAAGAAGAACUAAAAUAGUCCGCUGUAGAUAAUAAAUGUUACCAUACCUUUCUAUUGCGAGACAUGCGAAGACGUAGCACAGGACCAAAUUGAGAAAAAUACAUACGCAUCUGUUUCUCAUAAAAUCCAUGAGGAAGUCGGCCAACAUACAAAACACCUUUUUUCUUUUGAAGAUUCUUAUUUUCAGAAACCUUUUUCUUUAUGGUUUUCUCAGCAUCUUCGCCCAAAUCCAUAAUUUGCCUUGAGGUAUUAACUAGCGCAUUUGGAGAGUCUUCUUCAUCAUCAUCUGAAGAACCGAAACCAGGAAAAAACUCUUUAUCUUGUCCUUCUUCAUCAGAGUUAUCUACAUGACCUUGUAAUGAUAUAUGCUCGGCUUUUUCAGCAUCUUUGACUUUCUUCUCACGAAGAACCGAUUUCGGUUGAUUCACCGAUUCUAAAAUCAAUUGAGUUAAAAACCAUACAAUAGUGAUAUUAUUCCUAUCACUUACUUUUCGAAGACUUUAUAGGGCUCUUUGCCUUCGACAUAAUGUUUUAUAAAAGUAUAGGUAUUGAACUGAAUUUUUCCAGUGUCAAAAACGGCCAGAUGCCUAAAUUACAAGUUGUUAUACAUUUCCUUAAGCUAGACAUGGUAGAAUUUGAAUU
Molecule: non-coding RNA, 938 nt
Organism: Schizosaccharomyces pombe (fission yeast)
Lineage: Eukaryota; Fungi; Ascomycota; Schizosaccharomycetes; Schizosaccharomycetales; Schizosaccharomycetaceae
Source: the annotation of a GenBank genome assembly